Molecule: ribosomal RNA, 795 nt
Filed under: Triticum aestivum (bread wheat)
Lineage: Eukaryota; Viridiplantae; Streptophyta; Magnoliopsida; Poales; Poaceae
Description: partial small subunit ribosomal RNA
Source: RNAcentral
AUGGAAGGCGGCAAGAAGCAGCAGCACCACCACCACCACUUCGUCCUGAUCCACGGCGUGUGUCACGGCGCGUGGUCCUGGUACAGGGUGUCCACCGCCCUGGAGGCCGCCGGCCACCGCGUCACCGCGCCGGACAUGGCCGGGUGCGGCGAGGAGGUGGCGUCCUUCGAGGAGUACAGCCGGCCGCUGCUGGACGCGGUGGCGGCGCUGCCGGAGGGCGAGCAGGCGGUCCUCGUCGCCCACAGCUUCGGCGGGCAGAGCCUCGCGCUGGCCAUGGAGAGGCACCCGGAAAAGGUCUCCGUGGCCGUGUUCGUCACGGCCACCAUGCCCGCCGCCGGGAAGCCCAUGACCUACGCCUUCAACCAGCUAUCGCAAGGGAAAGGGCCGGAUUUCUUCAUGGAUUGCGCGCUCGGAAGCGCCGGCGAUCCCCGGAAUCCGGACAAGACGUUCCUGUUCGGGCCAAAGUACAUGGCGCGGAGAGUGUAUCAGCUGAGCCCUCCUGAGGAUCUGACCCUGGGAAUCGCGAUGGUGAGGCCGUCACGGCGGUUCCUAAACGACGACACGAUGAACGGGGACGUCCUGACGCCGGCGAGGUACGGAGCGGUGAGGCGUGUGUACGUCGUGGCCGAGGACGACGAGUGGAAGCCGGCGGAGAUGCAGCGGCUGAUGGCCUCGUGGAACCCCGGCACUGAGGUCAUGGGACUGCAGGGAGCUGAUCAUAUGCCCAUGUUCUCAAAGCCGAGGGAGCUCUCAGAAUUACUCAUGGUCAUUGCCAACAAGUACCCAGGAAGCUGA